GGAGGGGAGACGUCCCUGGUGGGACGGCCGGGCUUCAAACCCGGUGGUCGGCGCCACGCGCCGAUGGGUGGGUUCGACUCCCACGCUCCUCCG
Molecule: transfer RNA, 93 nt
Filed under: Variovorax sp. Sphag1AA
Lineage: Bacteria; Pseudomonadati; Pseudomonadota; Betaproteobacteria; Burkholderiales; Comamonadaceae
Description: tRNA-Sec
Rfam family: Selenocysteine transfer RNA
Source: RNAcentral